Molecule: unclassified non-coding RNA, 334 nt
Filed under: soil metagenome
Description: partial contains 5.8S ribosomal RNA, internal transcribed spacer 2, and large subunit ribosomal RNA
Rfam family: 5.8S ribosomal RNA (bases 1-120)
Source: RNAcentral
GAUGAAGAACGCAGCGAAAUGCGAUAAGUAAUGUGAAUUGCAGAAUUCAGUGAAUCAUCGAAUCUUUGAACGCACAUUGCGCCCGCCAGCACUCUGGCGGGCAUGCCUGUUCGAGCGUCAUUUCAACCAUCAAGCCCCAGGCUUGUGUUGGAGCCCUGCGGCUGCCGCAGCCUCCCAAAACCAGUGGCGGGCUCGCUAUCACACCGAGUGCAGUAGUUUACUCUUCGCUCAGGGCGUGUGGCGGGUGCUAGCCGUGAAACCCCCAACUUCUCAAGGUUGACCUCGGAUCAGGUAGGAAUACCCGCUGAACUUAAGCAUAUCAAUAAGCGGAGGA